Non-coding RNA from Cinara cedri, 370 nucleotides. The record is from the annotation of a GenBank genome assembly. NCBI's taxonomy places the organism in Eukaryota, Metazoa, Arthropoda, Insecta, Hemiptera, Aphididae.
CGUCAAUACGCUCCGAAAUAACGAAUGCAUCCGCCUAAAUGGAUCAAUUGGUAUAUUUUACGUUACACAUCGUGAGCUCUAUUUUUUUCGGUAUUAAAGUAAUUCUACAUAAGCGGGGGUAAUUUUACACUAGAUGCCCAACGAAUCUUUACGGCGAAAUGUAACCAGAACAAUGGGCAGCAAACUUUUUAAAUACCACUGCCAAACCACUGAGAUUUGACAACAGAAAUACAUAAUUUUAUUUGUAUUCAAAGUCGCACAUCUAGAGGGGGCAGGGGUUGAUCAGAAAUUUCAGGCUUUUUAUUAAGACCCUUAGUCUAUUGAAUCAAAUAAUUUCAAUAUUUUACAGACUUUUUUGGAUUUUUUUGUG